Pelobates cultripes (western spadefoot toad) is the source of this 1120-nucleotide non-coding RNA. Lineage: Eukaryota; Metazoa; Chordata; Amphibia; Anura; Pelobatidae. The record is from the annotation of a GenBank genome assembly.
CUCUGAUUGGGGGAGAGAGGGGGACAUUUAAUGUUUAUGAAUGAUUUGGGAUCAGUCUAUGUUUGGGGGAGGGAGGAUAACAGUGAAUGUUUAUGGUUAGGAUCAGUCUCUGAUUGGGGAGGGGGAGAACAGCGAAUGUUUAUGAAAGAUUUGGGAUCAGUCUCUGAUUGGGGCAGGGGGGAGAACAGUGAAUGUUUAUGAAUGAUUUAAGAUUAGUCUGUAGUUGAGGGGUGAACAGUGAAUGUUUAUGGUUUAGGAUCAGUCUCUGGUUGGGGAGGGGGGAGAACAGUGAAUGUUUAUGAUCAGUCUGUGUUUAGGAGGGGGGAGAACAGCAAAUGUUUAUGAUUUCGGAUCAGUCGCUGAUUGGGGGAAGGAGGAGAACAGUGAAUGUUUAUAGUUCGGAUCAGUCUCUGAUUGGGGGAGGCGAGAGAAAAGUGAAUGUUUAUGGUUCGGAUCAGUCUCUGAUUGGGGGAGGCGAGAGAACAGUGAAUGUUUAUGAAUGAUUUAGGAUCAGUCUGUGUAUGGGGAGAAUAGUGAAUGUUUAUGGUUUAGGAUCAGUCUCUGAUUGGGGAGGGAGGGGAACAGUGAAUGUUUAUGAAUGAUUUAGGAUCAGUCUAUGUUUGGGGGAGGGAGGAUAACAGUGAAUGUUUAUGGUUUAGGAUCAGUCUUUGAUUGGGGAGGGGGAGAACAGCAAAUGUUUAUGAAAGAUUUAGGAUCAGUCUCUGAUUGGGGCGGGGGGGAGAACAGUGAAUGUUUAUGAAUGAUUUAGGAUCAGUCUAUGUUUGGGGGAGGGAGGAUAACUGUGAAUGUUUAUGGUUUAGGAUCAGUCUCUGAUUGGGGGAGGGAGGAUAACAGUGAAUGUAUAUGGUUUAGGAUCAGUCUUUGAUUGGGGGAGGGAGGAUAACAGUGAAUGUUUAUGAAAGAUUUAGGAUCAGUCUCUGAUUGGGGCGGGAGGGAGAACAGUGAAUGUUUAUGAAUGAUUUAAGAUUAGUCUGUGUUUGAGGGGUGAACAGUGAAUGUUCAUGGUUUAGAAUCAGUCUCUGGUUGGGGAGGGGGGAGAACAGUGAAUGUUUAUGAUCAGUCUGUGUUUGGGAGGGGGGGAGAACAGCGAAUGUUUAUG